This 252-nucleotide unclassified non-coding RNA is filed under the name Hevea brasiliensis (rubber tree). Lineage: Eukaryota; Viridiplantae; Streptophyta; Magnoliopsida; Malpighiales; Euphorbiaceae. The record is from RNAcentral.
CGUAGAGUAGAAAGAACCCUGAAAAAAAAUCUAAGAAAUAAAAGCUCUGUAGGAAGGAAAUUGAAAAUGAAAUAGAGCUGAGUGGGGGAAACCUGGAAUUUCCAUUUUUGUAUAUUAUUGUUUCUUUUACGGCUUAUAUGCCCUGGGGUGUAAUAUUACCACCCAGUUGCUGUAUAAAUAUUCUCAUUGGUGUGCUUCUACAUUUCUUUUCCCAUUCAAUGAAAAUAUUUAUACAGCAACUGGGUGGUAAUA